This is a non-coding RNA of Heterocephalus glaber (naked mole-rat), 52 nucleotides long. Lineage: Eukaryota; Metazoa; Chordata; Mammalia; Rodentia; Bathyergidae. The record is from Rfam.
GGGAAACGGCCGGCAGGGCCCGCUCCAGGCCCCGAAACAAAUGUAUGGGGCC